AUACGUAGGGGGCGAGCGUUGUCCGGAAUGAUUGGGCGUAAAGGGCGCGUAGGCGGCCCGGUAAGUCUGGAGUGAAAGUCCUGUUUUUAAGAUGGGAAUUGCUUUGGAUACUGUCGGGCUUGAGUGCAGGAGAGGUAAGUGGAAUUCCCAGUGUAGCGGUGAAAUGCGUAGAGAUUGGGAGGAACACCAGUGGCGAAGGCGACUUACUGGACUGUAACUGACGCUGAGGCGCGAAAGUGUGGGGAGCAAGCAGGAUUAGAUACCCUGGUAGUCCACACUGUAAACGAUGAAUGCUAGGUGUAGGGGGUAUCGACCCCUUCCGUGCCGCAGUCAACACAAUAAGCAUUCCGCCUGGGGAGUACGGCCGCAAGGUUGAAACUCAAAGGAAUUGACGGG
This 396-nucleotide ribosomal RNA is filed under the name uncultured bacterium. RNAcentral describes it as "partial 16S ribosomal RNA". It matches the Rfam family "Bacterial small subunit ribosomal RNA", at positions 523 to 917 of the family's 1533-position model. The record is from RNAcentral.